This 1284-nucleotide ribosomal RNA is filed under the name Staphylococcus aureus. RNAcentral describes it as "partial 23S ribosomal RNA". It matches the Rfam family "Bacterial large subunit ribosomal RNA", at positions 153 to 1439 of the family's 2925-position model. The record is from RNAcentral. Lineage: Bacteria; Bacillati; Bacillota; Bacilli; Caryophanales; Staphylococcaceae.
GAUAUGUGAAUACAUAGCAUAUCAGAAGGCACACCCGGAGAACUGAAACAUCUUAGUACCCGGAGGAAGAGAAAGAAAAUUCGAUUCCCUUAGUAGCGGCGAGCGAAACGGGAAGAGCCCAAACCAACAAGCUUGCUUGUUGGGGUUGUAGGACACUCUAUACGGAGUUACAAAGGACGACAUUAGACGAAUCAUCUGGAAAGAUGAAUCAAAGAAGGUAAUAAUCCUGUAGUCGAAAAUGUUGUCUCUCUUGAGUGGAUCCUGAGUACGACGGAGCACGUGAAAUUCCGUCGGAAUCUGGGAGGACCAUCUCCUAAGGCUAAAUACUCUCUAGUGACCGAUAGUGAACCAGUACCGUGAGGGAAAGGUGAAAAGCACCCCGGAAGGGGAGUGAAAUAGAACCUGAAACCGUGUGCUUACAAGUAGUCAGAGCCCGUUAAUGGGUGAUGGCGUGCCUUUUGUAGAAUGAACCGGCGAGUUACGAUUUGAUGCAAGGUUAAGCAGUAAAUGUGGAGCCGUAGCGAAAGCGAGUCUGAAUAGGGCGUUUAGUAUUUGGUCGUAGACCCGAAACCAGGUGAUCUACCCUUGGUCAGGUUGAAGUUCAGGUAACACUGAAUGGAGGACCGAACCGACUUACGUUGAAAAGUGAGCGGAUGAACUGAGGGUAGCGGAGAAAUUCCAAUCGAACCUGGAGAUAGCUGGUUCUCUCCGAAAUAGCUUUAGGGCUAGCCUCAAGUGAUGAUUAUUGGAGGUAGAGCACUGUUUGGACGAGGGGCCCCUCUCGGGUUACCGAAUUCAGACAAACUCCGAAUGCCAAUUAAUUUAACUUGGGAGUCAGAACAUGGGUGAUAAGGUCCGUGUUCGAAAGGGAAACAGCCCAGACCACCAGCUAAGGUCCCAAAAUAUAUGUUAAGUGGAAAAGGAUGUGGCGUUGCCCAGACAACUAGGAUGUUGGCUUAGAAGCAGCCAUCAUUUAAAGAGUGCGUAAUAGCUCACUAGUCGAGUGACACUGCGCCGAAAAUGUACCGGGGCUAAACAUAUUACCGAAGCUGUGGAUUGUCCUUUGGACAAUGGUAGGAGAGCGUUCUAAGGGCGUUGAAGCAUGAUCGUAAGGACAUGUGGAGCGCUUAGAAGUGAGAAUGCCGGUGUGAGUAGCGAAAGACGGGUGAGAAUCCCGUCCACCGAUUGACUAAGGUUUCCAGAGGAAGGCUCGUCCGCUCUGGGUUAGUCGGGUCCUAAGCUGAGGCCGACAGGCGUAGGCGAUGGAUAACAGGUUGAUAUUCC